AGGGAAAUAAAACGCCAGUGAUUUUAUACCGUAUUUUGAGGAAAAGGUCUGAUACUUCAGAAAACAGCACAAUCCUAGAAAUUCGUAAGUUUCUGGUCAACAUCAGAUCCAGGAACAUUACGUUGAAUGGUUGGGACUUUUUCUACGUUUCCAAAGCCAUAUUUUACGGAGUGGUUUCACAGAUUGUUUCUUAUAUAAUUUUGCUAAUUCAGUUCAAAAUAUUUCAGUAGUUGUAGAUUUACAAGAAAACUAAACUAGUGACGAUUUAUGUACC
This is a long non-coding RNA of Macrosteles quadrilineatus (aster leafhopper), 274 nucleotides long. RefSeq lists it as uncharacterized. The record is from RefSeq and is a predicted model, not a curated record. The transcript is spliced from 3 exons. NCBI's taxonomy places the organism in Eukaryota, Metazoa, Arthropoda, Insecta, Hemiptera, Cicadellidae.